Molecule: transfer RNA, 1491 nt
Filed under: Coturnix japonica (Japanese quail)
Lineage: Eukaryota; Metazoa; Chordata; Aves; Galliformes; Phasianidae
Description: lncRNA (ENSCJPG00005008217.1)
Rfam family: tRNA (bases 824-893)
Source: RNAcentral
CUUAAGGGGGAUGUGCUGUGGUCCUACGUUGGUCUGAGUACAGAGAUGCUGGGUCUGGGUACCUCUGAGUGGUAUAAAACAAUCACAGGAAUCCAGCAGGUAAGCGUGGAUUUCACAUAGGUUUCGGCCUUUUCCAGUUCUUCUUUAGCUGGUGAAAGUGUUGGUGGGCUUUUCCAGCAAGGGCAGAAAAAAGGAUAUGGUCGUAUUUAUACAGUGCCAAAAUAUACUGCUCACAUAAAUGGUAGCUGCAUUUGAGGUAGGACCAGUGUUCUUGUGGUGGAUGCUGAAUUAUUUUUAAAUCUUAUUUUCUUGUGCCUGUCCAAAUAAAUGUAUGCACGAUUAUACAUAGUAUACCCCCCCUGGGGGGGAAAGGGGGGGUACACUAAGUAGGGGAGUUAGGUUAAAAAAAGUGUUGUUCCCGUAGUUGAGAACAACAAUGGCUUUUCAAGCCGUAGUCCUUGGGGUCUAUCCAAGCGGGAAUAUAUGACUUAUUUUGUGAUUUUUUUGGGAAUUUGUUUUAUGUUAGGGACUUCAGCUGUGGCAUCUAAUCCUUCCCCAUACUAUGGAGUGGUGGUUUGUUUCUUUGGUGUUGUUUAUGAUUUAUUUAGGGGGGAUGUUGGUGGUUUUUGUGUAUUCUGUUUCUUUAGCUGCGGAUCCGUACCCAGAGGCUUGGGGAAGUUGACGGGUGAUGGGGUAUGGGUUAGGUUUUGUUUUGGUAGUUUGUAUGGGAAUGGGUUUAGGGGGGUUUGUUGUUGGUUUUGUUUGUUGUGUUGGAGCUCGUGCAUGGGUUGUCUUGCGGUGCAGUUCGGGCAGUUAGGGGUUUCAGAAGGUAGUUUAUUUAAAAAUACCAGCUUUGGGAGCUGGGGAUGGGGGUUUAAAUCCCCUCUUUCUGAGUUACUCUAAGAAGGGCGAAGUCUUCAGUUUUUGGUUUACAAGACCAAUGUUUUGUGUUAAACUAUUAGAGUAUUUUAGUGAUUUAGUAUUUUGUUUUCUAGUAUUCCAAUUAUGGGGAAGAGGAUGAGUAGGAUAGUGAAGUAGGAGAGGGAUGCUAUUUGGCCGAUGAUGAUGAAUGGGUGUUCUACUGGUUGGCUGUCCAAAUCUUUCUAAAUGCCAACACUUUGCUGUCGGUGGUAUGUGGAAGAGCAAUGCCCCCAUCCCGGAGUGGCUCAGGAAUGGGGCACUGGCAGCACCCUGGCACUGCCCAGCAGCACACUGCCUGGGGGCUGCCUAGUUGUUCAGCUGGAGGUGCAGGAGGACUCUUUUAGCAAUAAUUAACGUGGUGCACUCAGGUAUUCUGGCAUGGGGAAAUUACGUUUUAACACUUCGCUUCAUUCCAUGCUGAAACAAAUCAAAGUCUGUUAUAACCCAUGGCAUCUUACUCAUUACUAUCUCAUUAACCUGCUAAUGGACACAUCACAGUGCUGUAAUUAUGCAAAAAUCAAGGGGAGAAGGAUGAUUCUGUAGAUUCUGUAGAUUUCUGAAAUCCACUGC